Molecule: ribosomal RNA, 405 nt
Filed under: uncultured bacterium
Lineage: Bacteria
Description: bacterial SSU rRNA
Rfam family: Bacterial small subunit ribosomal RNA
Source: RNAcentral
CAAGGAAUUUUCCGCAAUGGGCGCAAGCCUGACGGAGCAACGCCGCGUGCGGGAGGACGCCCUUCGGGGUGUAAACCGCUUUUCUUGGGGACGACUUUCCGACGGUACCCGAGGAAGAAGGCCCGGCUAACUACGUGCCAGCAGCCGCGGUAAUACGUAGGGGCCGAGCGUUGUCCGGAGUUACUGGGCGUAAAGCGCGCGCAGGCGGCCGCGCAGGCCCGGCGUGAAAGCCCCCGGCUCAACCGGGGAGGGUCGCCGGGGACGGCGCGGCUUGAGGGCGGCAGGGGCCGGUGGAAUUCCCGGUGUAGUGGUGAAAUGCGUAGAGAUCGGGAGGAACACCCGUGGCGAAGGCGGCCGGCUGGGCCGACCCUGACGCUGAGGCGCGAAGGCGUGGGGAGCGAACGG